Molecule: non-coding RNA, 1460 nt
Organism: Methanolinea sp. SDB
Lineage: Archaea; Methanobacteriati; Methanobacteriota; Methanomicrobia; Methanomicrobiales; Methanoregulaceae
Source: Rfam
GACAUUAGCUGUGUAUGCCAACCAGUGGAUGGCUUGGCUCAAGCGCUGAAGAAGGACGUGCCAAGCUGCGAUAAGCCUCGGCGAGGUGCAUGGAACCGUCGAACCGAGGAUAUCCUAAUGGGAACUCCCAGCCUUAGGGCUGAUCCGUAAGGAUCGGGAACGCCCCGGAUUGAAACAUCUUAGUAGGGGCAGGAAGAGAAAUCAAAUCGAGAUGCCGUAAGUAACGGCGAGUGAAAGCGGCAGAGCCCAAACCGAAUCCCUUCGGGGAGAUGUGGUGUUAUAAGCCUGGCUCAAUUACAGCGUCGUUGGUGAAGUUGAAGUUGCCUGGAACGGCACGCCGCAGAGUGUGAUAGCCACGUAAAUCUAAGCCGAUAACGCUGGAGCCUCGUCUUGAGUACCGUGGGUCGGAUAUCUCGCGGAAAUUUGGGAGACACCAACUUCCAAGGCUAAAUACGUCUUGAGACCGAUAGCGCAGUAGUAGGGUGACCGAAAGCUGAAAAGUACCCCAAAGAGGGCGGUGCAAAGUGCCUGAAAUUGGUUGGUGAUGGAGCGAUUUGGCGUCAAAGGAUACUCAGCACGAAGGAAAACGUCGCGAGGCGUCGGUACGAGUGCUGAAUGCCAGCGUCAUAUCUUACGUUUUGAAGAACGGGCCAGGGAGUGCAUUUAAGUGGCAAGGCUAAUCCGUUCAACGGAGCAGCCGUAGCGAAAGCGACCAGCGCGCAUCUUCGGAGAGGCGCGACGUAUACAAGUGCGUGGAGUCACUUGGAUGCUACCCGAAGCCGGGCGAUCUAGGCGUGGGCAGGUUGAAGCGUGGCGAAAGCUGCGUGGAGGACCGUUAGCGGUGUUGAUAUGCAAAUCACUCGCGUGACCUGUGUCUAGGGGUGAAAGUCCAAUCGAGCCCGGAAAUAGCUGGUUCCUUCCGAAACAUGUCGCAGCAUGACCUGACUGGAGGUUGUCGGCGGAGUAGAGCACUGAUUGGGGAAUCCGGGGGAGAAAUCCUUCGCUCUCUUGUCAAACUCCAAAACCGUCGUCGCCGUAGAAGGUCGGAGUCCGGACUGGGGGGUAAGCUUCCAGUCCGUAAGGGAAACAACCCAGACCGUGGUUAAGGCCCCCAAAUGUCGGCUAAGUGUUAACACUAAAGGGAGUCCUAGGCCCCAGACAACUGGAAGGUUAGCUUAGAAGCAGCUAUCCUUUAAAGAGUGCGUAACAGCUCACCAGUCGAGGUUUAGGGCCCCGAAAAUGGACGGGGCUAAGCCGACUGCCGAUACCACGGAGCACCGCAAGGUGAUCUCGUAGGGAGGCGCUCUGCGUGGGCAGAAGCAUCUUCGUGAGGAGGUGUGGACCACGUAGAGACGAAAAUCCUGGCAGUAGUAGCAGCAAAGUCGGGUGAAAAUCCCGAUCGCCGAAUGGGCUAGGUUUCCUCGGCAAUGUUCGUCAGCCGAGGGUUAGUCGGUCCUAAG